CGCCCCCGUUACGCCCUCCUAUAAAUAUGCAGAUUUAUUUAAAUAGGGUCUCCCUGUCCUCGCACGCAGACAAAAUGACAAGAAAAACUAAAUUUACGGCGUGCGAGGUGGAGGUGCUGGUGGCGGAGGUGGAGGAGCGACAGCGUGUUUUGUUUGGCAGCCUGUCCAGUGGCGUCAGUGCAAAACGAAAAUGCUUGGAGUGGGAGAAAGUUUGCGAGAGGGUGAACGCACCCCCGUGGAGAUUUAAAAAAAGUGGUCGGACCUCAAGGUGGAGGUCAAGCGGCGUACAGCUGCCCUCCGGAGGAGUACCGGCCAGACAGGUGGGGGUCCGGGGGAGGAGACCCUCACGCCGUUUGAGCAGCGGGUGGUGGCGAUUAUUAUUAUAGGGUAAGUGGCGUGUCACACAAAUGUCCACAUGCUUUGCCAUCCCACUGAGCAAAAGACGUAUAUUAGACGUCUAAUCUAAGUUUAUACUUCAUUUCAACGUCGGGAUUCAGUCUAGUUUUAAACGUGAUUGAUACUUCGCCUUUAACUUCAUUUUUCGAUAACUUUUUAUGCAAUAAACAACUGUAAUGUGCAUAACUGACCUCUAAAUACUGGAUUACAUUACCUAUGAUACCGUGGAGAGAGAUGUAAACGCAACAGAUACACAGAAGCAGGAAUUGAAAUGAACCAAUAUUUUUAUUGUGUCACAGAAAUCAAUGUGUCGGCCGUGUCGCCGGCUUGCGGAACCCCGGCCCGCGGCAGCCCGUCCGCCGGCUGGGAGUCGUCGGCCAGGACCAGCGGCAUUUGGGCCACCCCGGCCCCAGCCCCAGCACCAGCAUCAGCACCAGCGCGCCGACAAGCGGUGGAGCGUCCACCAGCCGCGGCGCUUCCGCUGGACCACACGGACGCAGUGGAAGGGUCCUCACGGAGGCGGUCCUGCAAUCGCAGGAAGAAAUCAUCGGGGGGAUCGCGGGGAUCAACGAGCGGCUGGACCGGCUCGUAAAUGUCCUCGAGCGUCUGGAGGCGAAAAAUAAAUUAAUUUGGCUCAUUGAACUGUGUAUUCACUUCUUACCCAUUCACACUGUGGCGAUGAGAUUCUCCCGCGCGAGGACGGCGGCCCGGCAGGGAUCAGCUCGGAUCCCUCCGUCUACAGCUGGUUUGUCAUGUGGGGCGACGUGCUGCUCGGCCACGGGGAUGUGGUGCACGCUUGUCACAUAGUGAGUCACCAAACACCGCCACACAGCGUCGCCAAAGUGGCGUCAACGCAAGUAUCGGCUCAACGCCAACUUCUACACCACCUCCUCACUUUGCGUUGAUUAGCGCUGGAACCGAUGCUCGUGUCGCAAUGAUAAAUCUGGAUGUGUGCGCCGAUCUUGGCGGACGCAAGGUUUUCUGGCACCGCCAGCGUUGAUACAUGAGGCCCCAGCAGACUGCAGCAUAGAACAGAACACUUGACACCACAGACUGAUAAAACAUCUGCAGCAUCUUACUACAGAUGUCUAUUGAUCGGAGUCUUCUCAGGCAAAAGAGGUGGCUCUGCCCCUUUCUGUAGAUGAAGUCUAUAUUCUUAGACCAGUCCAACUUAUUAUCCAGAUGUACACCUAGGUAUUUAUAUGAUGUCACCACUUCGAUGUCCACUCCACAGGUGUUCACUGGCUGAAGAGGGGGUUUGGAUCUUUAAGUAUGGUGGGUUGGAUGGUGCUGAAUGCACUUAAAAAGUCGAAGAACAUGAUCCUCACAUAAACCCCAGGUUCCUCCAGAUGAGACAGGGCACGGUGAAGCAUGUAGAGGACAGCAUAAUACACUCCAAUGUGUUCCUAGUGUGCUAACUGCAGGGAAUCCAGUUUGUCUUUGACCUCAGAACUUAGAAGGCGUAGAAUCAGCCGCUCCAGGGUUUUCAUGAUGAGUGAAGUGAGGGCCAUUGGUCGGUAGUCAUUGAGUUCAGCAGGACAUUUUGUUUUUGGUACUGGCACAAUGCAGGAUGUUUUCCACGGAGUAGUUACCCGCCCCAGCUGUAGACUCAGGUUGAAGAUCCUGUGGAGAGGUUGACACAGUUCUGCCGCACAGUCUCCAAGCAGCCUUGGACACACACCAUCUGGACCAGCUGCAUUCCCAGGACAAAGUCUUCCAAGCUCCAUCCUCACCCCUGUUUCGAUGAUAGACAAGGACUGGUGUUCUAAGAGGGAGGCAGUUGAAGUGGUUGAGACAUUGAAAUGAGAUGGAGGAGGAACGGGAGAAGUUGUAGUGGAGAUUUGUUUCGGAGAGGAAGGUGGAGUAGCAGUGGAAGUGGGUGUGACAGCAGUGUCAAAUCUGUUGAAGAACAGGUUGAGUUCAUCAGCUCUUUCCAGAUCACCCACCACUGGCUGUCUUUUCUUUUUAUUGCUGUGUCCAGGGAUGGUACUGAUUCCUCUCCACACUUCACGGAUGUUGCUGUGUUGUAGAUUCUUCUCUAUCUUUUUUUGUACGCCAGCUUUGUUAUCUUCAGUCUCCUAUUCAACUCUUGUUGCACUUGUCUGAGUCGUUCUUUGUCUUUGUCUUUAAAAGCUUUCUUUCUCUGGUUAAGGAUUGUUUUUAUGUCUCUUGUGAUCAAGGGUUUGUUGUUGGGGAAACAGCGAACAGUUUUUGUGGGUAUAACUGUGUCUCUACAGAAGUUGACAUAAUCAGUAAAGCAGUCAACCUGUUUAUUAAUGUCCAUACUAUCCACAUCUUUUUCCAGCAGCACAUCCCAGUCUGUUGAUUUAAAACAGUCUCUUAGAGCUUCACUGGCUUGAGGUGUCCAUCUUCUUAUUUUGACUUUGGUCACAGGCUGCCUCAGCACGCAAGGUCUGUAACAGGUUUGCAGAUAGACCAAGUUAUGAUCUGACUUGCCCAGUGGUGUUAAGGCAGUGGCCCUGUAGGCUUCUUUAACAUUGUCAUACAGCAGAUCCAGGGUUUUGUUUUCUGUGGUAGGACAGUUCACAAACUGUGUGAAUCCAGUCAAGUGAGAUGAGAGUGUGACAUGGUUGAAGUCUCCCGUAUUGUUAUCAGUGCCUCAAGGUGUUGAGUCUGUAGCCUGGCAACACUAUUUUGCAAAACAUUGCACAAAAUUUCUUCAGUUGAUUUGGGUGAAAUGUAGACAAAUAUUGUUAUGAUAUGAGUAAAUUCUCUUGGAACGUAAUAUGGCCGAAGAGCAACUGACAACAGUUCAAUAUCUGGACAACACAACUUCUCCUUGACAGUUAUGUGUGAACGGUUACAGCAUCGCUGGUUGACAAAUAAAGCCAGACCUUCUCCUUUCUUCUUGCCACGAGCUGGAGCAUUUCUGUCUGACCUUAUGAGAGUGAAGCCAGGGGCCUGUUCUACGAAGCACGUUCGACCUAGCGAGGUAGCCUUGGAGGUACCUCGCUCAAUGUAGCGCGGUAGCCAGUGGUCUUGCUAAAUGGUUUUACGACGCUGGUUAUCAACCUCGUAAAUUGAUCCGGCUUUGCUAUGAGCGCGUGCACGCAUGUAAGGCGGAGCCCGCCACACCUGACCAAUCGCGAACAUGGACCAGUUUGCAGUGUCAGAGAGCAGACCGGAGAGCGAAGGACCGCGGACUUUACAAACGAGGAGCAGGAGAUGAUCAUGAGAAAGUAUGAAGAAUUCAAAUCUAUCAUAAACCUCAAAAGCAACACCGUCACCGCUGCAUUACAAGGGUUAUUACAAGGGCCGUGCGCUGCGACUAAAUAGUACCGAAAUGUUGUCUGUGAUCACACAGCCCAUGCAGCCCAUGCCCAUUUAUUUCCAAGAUGAAUUCAUUUAUUUGUUCAUUCCUAUCGUGUUUACAUUUUUUGUGUGAUAUGUAGGCCAUAUGAGCCUUUCAUAAAGGUGGUAAAGGAGCUGGAGUGCUUCUCGGACGAUGCGAGCACCGAGGUCUAUAGGAUCCUCCAAGAACGGACAAGCCAUUUUUCGAGAAAGCUCAUUGGUCAGUGGGCGGGGUUUUUAUACUCUGUGAGUUCAAUCUGGAACUUAACCGUUUAGCGUAUGUUGCCAUGGAGACUCGCCUCGCUAAGAAGUGAACCCGCGUCGUAGAACAGGAAACCUCGAAGUUACCCUCGAAGUUACCUUGCUAAGCAGUAAUCCUGCUUCGUAGAACAGGCCCCAGGUCGAUCCACACUGGAGUCCAAGUUGUUUUGAUUCAACCAGGUUUCAGUAAAACACAGGAAACUGCACUCACGGUAUGCUUUCUCAGUCUUCACCAAUAUCUCCAGCUCAUCCCUUUUGUUGGGCAGAGAGUUGACGUUUCCCAUGAUGAUUAUAGAAAGGGUUUAUACCACCUCCUAGCAUUCAGCUUUGCCUUCACCUUUGCACCAGCACGGCAACCAAGAUAACACCUCCUUCUGUCCUCUGGAAUUGUAUGUUGUUGUCCAGAUUUGCUUUUCCUCAAUGAAAGGAGCUCUUCUCUUGAGUAAACUCUUCACCCAACAGUAGUAUCCAUCAGCAGCCAACAAAAUGACAACAGAAAAAUGAAAAAAAAUCUAGCAAAAAUUACAAAAAUUAUAGAUAAUGCAGAGAGAACAGACAGCAGCAACCUCUCGGUUCAAGUGCAUCAUUUGAAUUUUAAAGCAUCUGUACUAAAAACAAAAGAAACUAGAGAUUAGUUCAACAUUUUAUGAACAUACAAAGUAAAUAAAGCAAAUUGAAUAAGAUAAACUUAGAAAAAUAUAUUCAUUAAAAAUAUUUUAACUCAACAGCACAACAAAUGCAGAUAAGUACUAAAUAAUAUAGUGAAUUAGUUUACAGUCCUGAGUGUCGCUGCAAGACCCCUGCAAGAGAUAAUGAAGACCCCUAAAAAUGUAAACAUUAGAUGAUGUAAAUGUAGAUGAUAUGAUUGAUUGCUGCUUUCGUCUGGUGGCUGCACCGCUAGUUGUGGCUAAACUGCUAAUGCAGCUUGUGCCAUCAACAGUGACAGGCUGUGUGUACUCCACUCGCAUUUUCAUGCUUUCAGCAUUAACUCUCGGGAAAGUACUUCUUCAUAUGAUUGAACAGACCUGUUGUGUUGCUGGUUUUGGUGGGCGCCGAUUGCGACAUACCUUGCACAUCAGCUUAAAUGCUCGGCGUCACUCUGGAGAUACCAGAACCACUGCCACACAACCGACGUUGAAUAAUUUCUCAACAAUAACAUCUUUGGAGAAUAACUCAAAGUCACGGCUGACAUCUAUUUUGCUGCCCUCAGCACCACGUUUAGCUCCAUUUUCGGUCAUUCUGUUUACUUCUCCUGUUUACUUCUCUGACAAUUUACAGAAGUGAGCAGGAAAACCUCGACUUUGAUAGGCUGUAAUGACGCACCCUUCUGCUAUGUUUGAUCGAGUAAAUAUGCUCACAGCUGAUCACCGUGAUGGAACUGAAAUUUAUCACGAUCAUAUAAUCGCUCAGUCCAACCUAGGGCUGGGUUUUCUCUUUUUCUCACUGACAGUGCUGUCGGCUUCACAUGUUAAAGUGCUAUGGUUGCGUGUAGCUGCAGCCUGCUUCUGCUGUUUAGUACUUGGUUCUAAUUCAGCACGGUUGGUUCAGCGCAAAGCGGACCCGGAGCAACUCUCCUUUUAUUGGCUAUUGGUAUAGUCUACCUAAACAUGGCAGAAUGCCGAUUAUUGAAAAGCAUAUUGACCAAGUUUUAUAUCUAUAUCAAGGGAAGUUAAUUUUCGAUAUACACUCACCGGCCACUUUAUUAGGUACACCAUGCUAGUAACGGGUUGGACCCCCUUUUGCCUUCAGAACUGCCUAAAUUCUUCGUGGCAUAGAUUCAACAAGGUGCUGGAAGCAUUCCUCAGAGAGCUUGGUCCAUAUUGACAUGAUGGCAUCACACAGUUGCCGCAGAUUUGUCGGCUGCACAUCCAUGAUGUGAAUCUCCCGUUCCACCACAUCCCAAAGAUGCUCUAUUGGAUUGAGAUCUGGUGACUGUGGAGGCCAUUUGAGUACAGUGAACUCAUUAUCAUGUUCAAGAAACCAGUCUGAGAUGAUUCCAGCUUUAUGACAUGGCGCAUUAUCCUGCUGAAAGUAGCCAUCAGAAGUUGGGUACAUUGUGGUCAUAAAGGGAUGGACAUGGUCAGCAACAAUACUCAGGUAGGCUGUGGCGUUGCAACGAUGCUCAAUUGGUACCAAGGGGCCCAAAGAGUGCCAAGAAAAUAUUCCCCACACCAUGACACCACCACCACCAGCCUGAACCUUUGAUACAAGGCAGGAUGGAUCCAUGCUUUCAUGUUGUUGACGCCAAAUUCUGACCCUACCAUCCGAAUGUCGCAGCAGAAAUCAAGACUCAUCAGACCAGGCAACGUUUUUCCAAUCUUCUAUUGUCCAAUUUCGAUGAGCUUGUGCAAAUUGUAGCCUCAGUUUCCUGUUCUUAGCUGAAAGGAGUGGCACCCGGCGUGGUCUUCUGCUGCUGUAGCCCAUCUGCCUCAAAGUUUGACGUACUGUGUGUUCAGAGAUGCUCUUCUGCCUACCUUGGUUGUAACGGGUGGUUAUUUGAGUCACUGUUGCCUUUCUAUCAGCUCGAACCAGUCUGGCCAUUCUCCUCUGACCUCUGGCAUCAACAAGGCAUUUCCGCCCACAGAACUGCCGCUCACUGGAUAUUUUUUCUUUUUCGGACCAUUCUCUGUAAACCCUAGAGAUGGUUGUGCGUGAAAAUCCCAGUAGAUCAGCAGUUUCUGAAAUACUCAGACCAGCCCUUCUGGCACCAACAACCAUGCCACGUUCAAAGUCACUCAAAUCACCUUUCUUCCCCAUACUGAUGCUCGGUUUGAACUGCAGGAGAUUGUCUUGACCAUGUCUACAUGCCUAAAUGCACUAAGUUGUCGCCAUGUGAUUGGCUGAUUAGAAAUUAAGUGUUAACGAGCAAUUGGACAGGUGUACCUAAUAAAGUGGCCGGUGAGUGUAUAUCGUUAUCAUUUUAUCGCCCAGCCUUAGUCCUACCCCUUACCCUGUAUAGAGGAGCUGUAAGCGACCCUUAGUGGAGGGAAGGUUUUCUCAAAGACUGACUUAGCGGCAGCUUAUCAGCAGGUUUUACUUGAUAAGGACUCCAAGAAGUACACAACCAUCAACACCCACAGGGGACUGUUUGUGUACAACAGACUUCCUUUUAGGAUUAAUUCAGCCCCAUCCAUCUUCCAAGAGAUAAUGGAAAACGUAGAAUAGAAUAGAAUAUUCCUUUAUUGAUCCCCCAUGGGGGAAAUUUUUUUGUCACAGCAGCAUCACAAAGAGUGCAAAAAUGCAGUUAUAAAAAUAAAGAUCCUAAUAUUAAGAACUUAAAUAAAUGUAAUAAUUAAGAAAAAUUUCAGAAAAAGGAGAAAAGAAGAAGAAAAAUAAAACUAUCUACAAUAAACACAAUUUAAAUGCCAGAAAAAAAGUGUUGGUGUGAGUCCAGUUAUUAUUACAGUUCGUUGUAAAGUCUUAUCGCAGAGAGGAGGAAUGACCUGCGGUAGUGCUCUGUCUUGCAAGGUGGAAGUCUCAGUCUGCUGCUGAAGGAGCUGUUUAAAGCCCCCACAAUCUGGUGCAGUGGGUGAGAGGGAUUGUCCAUGAAGGGUACAAGCUUUGUUAACAUCCUCCUCUCACCCACAUCUUCCAGGGAGUCCAAAGAACAGUCCAGGACAGAACUGGCCCUCCUGACCAGUUUAUUCAGUCUCUUCCUGUCCCUCUCAAUGCUCCCUGCCCCCCAGCAGACUACUACAUAGAAAAGUGCAGAUGCUACCACAGAGUCAUAGAAAGUCCUGAGCAGAGUCCUGCACACUCCAAAGGACCUCAGUCUCCUCAGCAGGUGGAGACAACUUUGGCCCUUCUUUUACAGGACGUCUGUGUUGGUUGACCAGUCCAGUUUAUUGUUGAGGUGGACACCCAGGAAUCUGUAGGACUCCACCACCUCAAUGUCCAGACCCUGGAUGUUCACUGGAACAGUCUGAGGUGUCCUCCUCCUGCGGAAAUCCACAACCAUCUCCUUUGUCUUACUGGCGUUGAGCUGGAGGUGGUUUGUGCCACACCAGUUGACAAAGUCACUGAUGACAGUCCUGUAUUCCCGCUCACCCCCUAACGAUACACAUCCGACGAUGGCUGUGUCAUCAGAGAACUUCUGGAGGUGACAGCUCCCAGAGUUGUAGCUGAAGUCCGAGGUGUACAGGGUGAAGAGGAAGGGGGAGAGCACUGUCCCCUGUGGAGCCCCCUGUGCUGCAGACCACAACGUCUGAUACACAGUUCUGAAGCCUCACAAACUGUGGUCUGUCGGUGAGGUAGUCCACGGUCCAUGCGGCUAGGUGACAGUCCACUCCCGCCCUCUCAAGCUUCCCCCUGAGCAGUGAAGGCUGGAUGGUGUUGAAAGCACUGGAGAAGUAAAAAAACAUGACCCUCACAGUGCUGACGGUGUUCUCCAAGUGAGCCAUGGACCUCUGCAGCAGGUAGAUGACUGCGUCGUCCACCCCAAUGUUCGGCUGGUACACAAACUGCAGAGGAUCCAGAUGAGAGCUCACCAGGGGGUGGAGGUUCCUCAGCACGAGCCUCUCCAGAGUCUUCAUCAGGUGAGAAUUGAGAGCCACAGGUCUGAAGUGGUUGGGCUCCCUGGGGUGUGCUGUCUUGGGGACAGGAAUCACGCAGGAAGUCUUCCACAGUGCUGGGACCCUCUCCAGACUCAGGCUCAAGCUGAAGAUGUGCAGUAGCACCUCACAGAGCUGGGGUGGGGGUGGGGGGGGUGGAGGAUGAGUGGAGGGGGGUUGAUGAUGCCGGUGCCAUGGGACUGAGGUGGUGUGAAGAAGAAGCAGCAGAUUUGGUUUGAUGAGUUGGGGGAGGAGUGGGAGCAGAGUCAAAUCUAUUGAAGAACAGAUUCAGUUCAUUGGCCCACUCCCUGUCUCCUGCUUCAGGUCCCCUCUCAUGGCCCCUGCUAUGACCUGAGAUGGAUUUCAGGACUCUCCAGACCUCCCUUGCAUUGUUCUGUUGCAGAAGGUUUUCCAUCUUGGUCUUGUAGCUGGCCUUUCCCUCUCUGAUCUUCUUCUUCAGCUCCUUCUGCACCCUCCUCAGCUCCUCCUUGUCCCCAGAUUUAAAGACCCUCCUCUUCUCCUUCAGGAGGACUUUAAGUUCCGGCGUCACCCAAGGUUUGCUGUUGGAGAAACCCCGUACUUUCCUGGUGGGUAUGGUAUUCUUAACACAGAAGUUUAUAUAGUCCGUGAUACAGUCUGUCAUGGUGUCGAUGUCAUCACCAUGUGGGCCGAACAGUACCUCGCAGUCUGUGGUCUCAAAACAGUCCUGCAAUGCCUCAGUGGCCACCUCAGACCACCUCUUAACAUACCUGAUGGUGGGGGGUUGUUUCUUCACCAUAGGUAUGUAAAUGGGCUGCAGUCUCACCAGGUUGUGAUCUGAGCAGCCCAGCGGGGGAGGGGGAGGAGGUGAUUGCAUCCUUGGUGUUUGCAUACCGUAAGUCCAAAGUUUCAUUGUCUCUUGUUGGGCAGUUUACAUACUGGCUGAAGGUAGGAAGAGUGGAGGAGAGUGAUGCAUGAUUAAAGUCUCCAGAGAUGAUGAUCAGAGACUGAGGGUGUGAUGUUUGUAGCUUAGACACUUCACUAUGGAGGAGUUCACAGGCUGCAGCAGCAUCAGCCAAGGGGGGGAUGUAAACAGUUAAUGCGAUGACGUGCGAAAACUCCCUCGGCAGGUAAUAUGGCCGCAAACUCACAGCCAGCAGCUCAAUGUCCUUAGAGCAGCGCUGCUCUUUAACACUGACGUGCCCAGCAUUACACCAUCUCUCAUUCACAUACACCGCUGUCCCGCCUCCUUUCUUCUUAUGAUGUAUCCAAUGUGAAGCGCUUUGAGGGUCUCUAAUAAAGCGCUAUAUGAAAUCUGAUGCAUUAUUAUUAUUAUAAUUAAUGUCCCCGAUUUGCCCGAUGCUGAACUCCAGCCCUGCAUCCUCUCCUUCUCCUGUGGAGCUUGGCGGGGAUGUCCAGUCUGUCCAACGAAGGUGGCCAGGCUUGGCGCAGUUGUUCACGGCUGUAAACAAUGGGGCCGCUGAACGGGUAGCUGGACGCGGACUUAAAAACUCCGAAAAGUAAAAGAAAACAAAGUGCCAGAGUCAUGAAAUGCACAUCCAUGGUUGGAAUAUGCAAGACACAACACUGCUAAGUAAAAAAAAAGACAAAUAAGGUGCAAAAGACAACAAUGAGAAGGCAAAAACGUAAAGUCUGUGAGGAGCUGCUGUGACUUGCUCCCACUCUCAGGGCGCUCAAUCACUUAAACAUGAUAAAAGACUUACCAGUGGUUGUCUCCCUCGAUGACUUGCUGGUCACUGGGAACUCAGAGGAAACUCUUCUCAGCAACCUGCAGAUGGUUCUGCAACAACUGCAGGAAAAUGGGCUACGUGUGAAAUGUUCAAAGUGUGAAUUUGGUAAGACCAUAAUCGAGCACUUGGGUCAUAUACUGGAUAAAUAUGGCGUCCAUCCUGCCAAGGACAAAGUGAGAGCAUUUUACUUUAGUGACUGACCAUCGCCCUCUUGUGGCACUGUUUUGAGAACACAAAGGUCUACCUACACAUGCUGCUGCAUGGAUUCAGCAGUGGGCAAUUACAUUGUCAGCUUAUGACUACCACAUUGUACAUCGCAAGUCAAAAGAGCACGGCCAUGCAGAUGGACUUUCCUGACGCCCCCUGCCUGAUACCAGCGACAAAGGAACAUCUGAAACCACAGCACCAGUGAAUGUGCUGUUAGAAGGGCAUCUUCGAGAGGCUCCCCCAAAUGCUAUACAAGUUGCUAGGGCAACACACACAGACAACGUGCUGGCCAGAGUGUACAGGUAUGUCAUGGAAGGCUGGCCCAACACUUAAAAGUAUUUUUCACAUAGAGAAGCGAGCUUUCCACGGAUCAAGGCUGUGUCCUGUGGGGGACCAGGGUCAUCAUACCUUCAAAGUUGAUAGGUGAAGUGUGGAAGGAGGUCCACUCGGGGCACCAAGGUAAUGUAAAAACCAAAGCCUUAAAUGUGUAUGGAGGCCUAACCUUGACAUGGAGGUUGAGAAGAUCUGCAGGAAAUGCUAAACUUUCCAGCUGGACCAAAAAUUCCACAACAUGCCCCACUACAACUUAGAAUCUGUCUGUCUGUCUGUCUGUCUACAUCCAUGGGAAUUUCCAGGAGAGCACUGGAAAAGACUGCACAUUGACAUUGCUGGACCUUUUCUGAAUAACAUGUUCAUGAAAGUGGUUGACGCCCAUUCUAAAUGGUUGGAAGUGUGUCAUAUGUCACAAAUCACUCUUCGGAGCACUGUGGGGGGACACCACAAAUGGAUUCCAGAAAAAGUGGUGAGACAGACUGGACUGAGGGACUCAGACACAGUGCACCAAAGACAUGGAGAUUAGUUGCGGACUCAGGCCAUGGCUGUGCCAGACUCUGACAUCUUUAAAGCCUUACAUGGACAGGAUGAUGACAAAGACUGAAGUGGAGAAAAAGAAACUAUGGACUCAACCAGGGUGUUACCAGAGGUGAUUGAGUCUGAACCAUUUGCCUUGAGGCACUCACAGCAUGAGAUUCAACCAACCAUAAGAUACAGGACAAAGGGGGUGGACUGUAGACCCACUGGUUCAAUCUUGAAUUGAGUUUUGUUAGAAAAAAUAAAAAUGGUAUGCAGACCAAAUCAUCCUCACAUAACAACGUGUUGGGGAUUGAUAAUAUUUGUGUGUUUUCAAAACAAUUUGGUUCUGCUGGAAGGAAGAUAUUGUGUUAAAUUUAUUUUUGGUGUAUUGGGUUUACAAUGUUAUUCUACAGGUAGUGUUAAACAUAGUUGCUCUUAGUAUAACUUGCCAAACUGACGGAAAACAGAGCUCAGCUAGCUUACCGUAUAUCAGCUGAGCUAGUGAGCGUUGGCUCUUUUUACAGACAUUGGAGUUAGUCACGGUCUCUGUGGCAGGCCACCACAAGCCGGACAGCCUUGGCUCAGGGCUGUGGCAGAGGCAGAAACCAGGAAGAGAUCAAUGAAGAGAUCAGGGUCCCUGUGCUUUGGCACUGGAGGAUCUUACCCGUGUGGAGAGCAUCAAGCUCAGAGACUGGCAGAUGAUAAGGUAUGCAUGACUAAUGUGAUUGUUUCAGACAUAAAAUGAAGUAGAUUUUAAAAAUUAAAUCAAAUUUCUACAUAUAAGAUUUUAGUGAGUUUUCUGAUUUUGUGGAUGGACAGGCUGGCUAGAAGGGUCUGGGACAACAUUGGAGCUACUGCAGACUGCCCUGACCCUGGAGAAGGCAACAAGUUGUCCUGAUUUGCCACAUUUAGACAGUUUGUGAUCUGUCAAUAUGGAGCAUAGGGGUUCAGAAUAGUGAUUACCAGUUCUUAUGUCUGAAGAAUAUCAAAGUGCUUUUUCAAAAUGCUAUUUAUUUUUAUGUAAAUGCUGUUUUAUACAUGUGUUUUUUCAUUAUACUAUUGUUGUUAUAAAAUUGUUUUCUAAAAAAUCGGAAAAGCCACUCGUGUUUCAUUACCAAUCACAUCACUAAAAACUGCACAACUUCACAUCAGUGUCAGCAGUAGUAAUGGUGCAUAAAAGAUGAAACACGAGAUGAAAUAUAACAUUCAUUUAUUGAAAAAUUAGCGUCCAAACAAUAAGUCCUCUUGGUCAGAUGUACAUCUUGUGGGGCCUUUAUGGUGUACAAACUCCUUGCUCUAGACUCUCUGUUAUACAGACUACCAGCAAACACAAUGUUUGCAGGACCUCCACAACUAAAAUAAAGUGACAUACUCCAGGACCCGAGGUAAACAGUUUAGCGGCACAACAACAUGCAGCAGGUCUUGUUUCACAAUAAACACUUCUGUUCAGACACUUGAUUUACUUUGUUAAAAUGGGGCCCUGUCAAAGUAAAUAUAAAUAGCACCAGUGCUAAUGUAGCAGCAUGCUAACAGGCUACCUAUGAACGCAAUGCUUUUGGCUACUCUGCGACUAAAACGCAACACAUUGCAGGACACAAGGUAAAAUAAACUUGGCCGUUUACCUGUCCAGCAGAAAGGUUACAGGGUCUGUAAGAUCUUGAAGCAUUACCCAUCGAUCAAGCGUCACUGAUGUAGACCCAGCUUUUCCCCUCUUGUCCGCGUGGUCUACCUCCUUUGUGCCCGUUGUUCCGCCAGAGUUUCUGGUAUUUACUUAGUUUUCUUGCUUGUGUAGGCACGUGAUGUCAAAAGAGGAUUCAAACAUUUUUCCGUACUUUCUAGCUGGUUUCUACUGUCUGUUAUAACUUUGUUUGGGCUCGUGCACGCUAUUCGAGGACAUGGAGCAUGCCUCACAACCGAUCAGCAUUAAGGAGGAGCAUCUGCCUCACAGCCAACCAGGCUGGAGGUGCAGAACGGCUUUGUUUACAGUCAGAAUGAGCAGAUUGCUGUUAGGUUUUAAAAUGUUGACUACACAGGCAUAAGAGAACACAGCAAUACUGUGAUAUUCCCAAAUGUCAUCAAUAACUAAUAGCUACUUACUGAUAAUAAAAGCUUUUUUGUAUAUACACCACAAAAAAAGAUGGAUCUAUAACAGAUACCUGCCUAUCCCACCUUUAAGUGUAAUAAACUUAUUUACCAGAGUCUCCCUCAUUAACACACCUGUCUGACCAAAACAGCCCUUCUCAUCCUCACCAAUUUACAGCUUUCACAGCAGCUCAUUACACCACAGCACUGUUUAAUGGAGAUCUGACAUAAAAGAAUGGAGGAAAAAAUGUCUUACCUUCACUCUGGUAUCCAAAACAGUCAGCAUCAGUCAUCUAGCUCCAACAGGUUAACACUUCCGGGACCUUUAGAUUUUCCUCCCUCUAAAGUCCCUCGUGGCUGUUAAAAGCCACUUUUUCUGUCGGCUGUAAAAUCUUAUUGGAUUAAUAUUUUUUUCUGAUUUUUUUUCACAAAUUUCUUAUUUUACUUCUGCCCUGUUCGAAACUAGCAAAUGUUUCAUUGAAAACAAAUUUUUUUUUAACCCUUUAAGUGCCAAUUUAAGACAAAAAGUCACAAAUUUAGCAAAAAUUGAAGGAAAAUGACCCUUUUUUUUUAUAAGGCAUGAUCAGAAACUGGUAAUCUCUUGCAGGGUAUUAAAGUCUUGAAUAUGUCAGAGAUUAGUAAUAUAAUUUACUUAUAUGCAUUUUCAGUUUUUCUGUAACAUCAGAUUUAAUGAAAAACUGCCUUUGGCGCCUCCCAGUGGCCAAAACCACUAUUUCUACUGUAAAAUCAUAUUGGAUUAAUAUUUUUUUCAGAUUUUUUUUAAUACAUUUCUUAUUUUACUUCUGCCCUGUUCAAAACUAGCAAAUGUUUCAUUGAAAAUAAAAAUUUUAACCCUUUAAGGGCCAAUUUAAGACAUAAAGUCACUUAAAAAGCAAAAAAAUGGAAGGAAAAUGAAGGAAAAUGACCCAUUUUUUAAAUAAAACAUGAUCAAAAACUGGUAAUCUCUUGCAGGGUAUUAAAGUCUUGAAUAUGUCAGAGAUUAGUAAUAUAAUUUACUUAUAUGCAUUUUCAGUUUUUCUGUAGCAUCAGAUUUGAUGAAAAACUGCCUUUGGCGCCUCCCAGUGGCCAAAGCUACUUUGUCUGCUGUAAAAUCAUAUUGGAUUAAUAUUUUUUUCAGAUUUUUUUUCAUACAUUUCUUAUUUUACUUCUGCCCUGUUCAAAACUAUCAAAUGUUUCAUUAAAAAAAUUUUUUUUAACCCUUUAACGGCCAAUUUAAGACAUAAAGUCUCUUAUGAAGCAAAAAAAUGGAAGGAAAAUGACCUCUUUGCUUCAUAAGAGACUUUAUGUCUUAAAUUGGCCCUUAAAGGGUUAAGUUUUUUAUUUUCAAAGAAACGUUUGCUAGUUUUGAACAGGGUAGAAGUAAAAUAAGAGAUGUAUGAAAAAAAAUCAGAAAAAAAUAUUAAUCCAAAAUGAUUUUACAGCAGACAAAGUAGUUUUGGCCACUGGGAGGCGCCAAAGGCAGUUUUUCAUUAAAUCUGAUGCUACAGAAAAACUGAAAAUGCAUAUAAGUAAAUUAUAUUACUAAUCUCUGACAUAUUCAAGACUUUAAUACCCUGCAAGAGAUUACCAGUUUCUGAUCAUGUUUUAUUAAAAAAAUGGGUCAUUUUCCUUCAAUUUUUGCUAAAUUUGUGACUUUUUGUCUUAAAUUGGCACUUAAAGGGUUAAAAAAAAAAUUUUUAAUGAAACAUUUGCUAGUUUCGAACAGGGCAGAAGUAAAAUAAGAGAUUUGUGAAAAAAAAUCAGAAAAAAAUAUUAAUCCAAUAUGAUUUUACAGCCGACAAAACAAGUGGCUUUCAACAGCCACGAGGGACUUUAAAGGGAGUUUUUCUGUCCUGGCUUUAUUAUUGACCUGGUGAAAAUUUUGAAUCCAUGUUUUCAAAUAAAAUGUCAAAUUAAGCUUAGAAAAAAAAAUUCAUCAAAUUUGCUGCAGUAAAAAAAAAGUUAUAUCCAAAUUAGUCUCUAGUUCUAUCAUAAAUUGGCUGUCAAAAGCCCGAAGGUUCCGGAAGGGUUUUAAUAACCCACCUGUAUUAUUCCUGUUUACAUCCCGUUCCUCACGGUCAGUGUUUCAUCCAUUUGCAUUGUGUGCAAAAACAAAAAAGUUUUUAGUGCUUUUUCUGUUCGGCAGGCUUAGGCGUUUACUCCUGGUCUUCUUCAACUGGGACAUGGACCACUUCAAGGUUUGGACACAAUUGCUGCGUCCGAAUUGCCCGCUCGGAUACUACAUGCUACUGCUACAUACUACUGCUAGAUCCUACUCCUACAUACUAAGCACGUUGGCCCAAUUCGGACACACUAAACGAGCGGUGGGGAAAGACGACCCCCGCAGGCAGAGAGUAGGUACUGCGCCCGUUUUAGACUCUGAAUGGUAAUUGUGCAAGUGAUGGAUGCUGCUGUAUUAUAUUCCUGCACCGCUUUAGAAAGUCACAAAGUAGCUUUUCCAUGACUUUUAGCCUUCAUUCAUUCACGUGGUGAUCGUUUGUUCAAUGAGAUCUGCCUGAUUACUGCAGCUGUGCAGUUUAAUGAUGGAAUAAGUGAGCUUCACCUCCAUGAUGUCUCCACAUAUUUGCUCAUAAAAUGAUUACUUGGGCAAAUAUGACACCAUGACAUGACAAAGGGAUACAACCGCACAUUUUUAGGACAGUGUGUGAAGUUACAUUAAAUCUACAACUGUACUGCUGUGGUCCUGCCUGCUGCUGCUGCUGCUGCUGCUCCGACAUGGUGCGCGCUGCUGUGGCCAGCCGGCGUUCGCGACACAUUUAAAUAGGCAGAGCAGCUGGUGGCGCUAGCAUCACAUGCGCUUCUACAACUUCUACAGGACGAAGAAGAAGCCCACAGUGCAUUUUGGGUCAGUAGCAUGCCCGUAAGAUGCACCGAGACCAACCUACAAUGUGGGCGUGUCUAGUAUCUGAAGUAGUAUCUGAAGUAGCAUGCUACUUGCUCCGGUGGCCAAUUCGGACAUGCUAGAUACUACUUCGACUACUACUUCGACUACUACUUAGCAAUUCGGACGCAGCUAAUGAGGUAGUCAUGGCCUGUCUGGACCUGUGGUCUGGACUUGGUACCAAGUCCAGGCACCAGGGGCCUUAUGUAUCAACACUUGUGUGGAACUCAUACCAGAAACGUGCCCACGCAAGGUCCGUCACGCUGAAAAAAAUCCGUAUGUAUCAAUGUGUGCGGGCGCCGAAAUCCACGUGUGUUUCCUUGAUAAAUCCCAAUCAGCGUGGAAUUGAGCGCAGAUGUCCGAGUGACUGGGCCCGUCCCCGUUACGCCCUUCUAUAAAUAUGCAGAUUUAUUUAAAUAGGGUCUCCCUGUCCUCGCACGCAGACAAAAUGACAAGAAAAACUAAAUUUACGGCGUGCAAGGUGGAGGUGCUGGUGGCGGAGGUGGAGGAGUGACAGCGUGUUUUGUUUGGCAGCCUGUCCAACGGCGUCAGUGCAAAACAAAAACGCUUGGAGUGGGAGAAAGUUUGCGAGAGGGUGAACGCAGUGGGUUCCGAGACACGCAC
Molecule: long non-coding RNA, 16916 nt
Filed under: Xyrichtys novacula (pearly razorfish)
Lineage: Eukaryota; Metazoa; Chordata; Actinopteri; Labriformes; Labridae
Source: RNAcentral